GGGCAAGUAGCUCAAUGGCGGAGCAAUCGGUUUACAUCCGAUAGGUUACAGGUUCGAGUCCUGUCUUGCCCACCA
RNAcentral lists this transfer RNA (75 nucleotides) under Candidatus Omnitrophota bacterium. Its description in RNAcentral is "tRNA-Val". It matches the Rfam family "tRNA". Rfam says of the family: Transfer RNA (tRNA) molecules are approximately 80 nucleotides in length. Lineage: Bacteria; Pseudomonadati; Candidatus Omnitrophota. The record is from RNAcentral.